This is a long non-coding RNA of Cannabis sativa, 776 nucleotides long. RefSeq lists it as uncharacterized. The record is from RefSeq and is a predicted model, not a curated record. Lineage: Eukaryota; Viridiplantae; Streptophyta; Magnoliopsida; Rosales; Cannabaceae. The transcript has 3 exons.
AAUUUGCAAAAUAGCCUUUUCCUUUUUUUUAUUACUUUUAUUUUACACUUUAACUCAUUUAAAAAAUUAAUUUAAUAUUAAACAAAAUUAAUUAAAACCUCAUAAAAAAAAAUAAUAAAUAACCCUAACUUUCUUUUUUAGAGAGAAGAACUCCUCCUCUUUCUUUUUGUUCUUCUUCUCUUCUUCUCCUCCUCUAUCUUCUUCUUGCUAAUAAGACCAAAAAGACUAUGAAUGGUCAUAAGUGAACCAUUCUUCUUCUUCUCCUCCUCUUUCUUCUUCUUGCCGAUAAGACCAAAAAGACCAGCCAUUGUUCAUAAAUGGUGGCAAGUGGUGGCAGCCAUAGACAAAAGAAUUUGAGAUUCAUUCUAAUAGAGGCAAUGAAAAAAAUCUGUGGAGCCACUUGCAGCAUAUUUUCCUUUUUUACUUAAAAACUGUUGCCAUAUUGGGAGCCUCCAUCAUCAGUGUAGUGAUCUCAUGAGUAUAAAAGUAGCUCCUGCAUAUACUGUUCCUCUGAACAAGAGAACUAGAGGUUGUGGUAUAUUCAUGCUUAAGACAAUGGAAAUGCACAUUGACGGUAAGUGCAAUGAGUCGGCUACAAUGUUGCUCAACGACGACAACAUAGAUACAUUCAGGAAGGCAUAUGCAGUUCAAUUAUAUGUGGGUAGUGCAAAUCCUUAAUUAACCAUGUCCUUGUUCAUAAUUCUAAUUUUUGUAAUUUUGUGGAUAAACUUGAAUUUUCUCUGAACGACUGCAAACAACCUUGAAUUUGCUCUGAA